RNAcentral lists this small RNA (517 nucleotides) under Circinaria serenensis. RNAcentral describes it as "eukaryotic LSU rRNA". The stretch from base 193 to 346 matches the Rfam family "5.8S ribosomal RNA". The record is from RNAcentral. Lineage: Eukaryota; Fungi; Ascomycota; Lecanoromycetes; Pertusariales; Megasporaceae.
CAUUACCGAGAUUAGGGUCCAUUAGGACUCGACCCUCCCACCCUUUGUGUAUAUAUACUUUUGUUGCUUUGGCGGUCACCCGGCGGCACACGGCGCUGCUAGACAUGUCGAGUCCCGGGCCCGCCAGAGGCCCUUUUAAAUCUGCCUUUUAUCAGUGAUGGUCUGAGCAUUAUUUUUGCAAAUUUAAAUUAAAACUUUCAACAACGGAUCUCUUGGUUCUGGCAUCGAUGAAGAACGCAGCGAAAUGCGAUAAGUAAUGUGAAUUGCAGAAUUCAGUGAAUCAUCGAAUCUUUGAACGCACAUUGCGCCCUCUGGUAUUCCGGGGGGCAUGCCUGUUCGAGCGUCAUUACACCUCUCAAGCUUCGCUUGGUAUUGGGUCUCCGUCCCCUGUGGACGGGCCUGAAAAUCAGUGGCAGUGCAACCGGUACUCAAGCGUAGUAAUAUUUAUAUCCCGCUUUGGAGUAACCCGGAUGGACUCGCCAGAUAACCCCGAAUUUAUUUCAAUGAUGACCUCGGA